GGAAGUCAAAGAGCCGCGGAGCUCGCAGCGCAGCUCGCUUAUUCAAAUCAGUCUCCUCCUCUCCGGAGCCCGGCUGGGGCCAGCGCCCACCCACCUCCGAGCGGCCCCGGAGAGGCUGAGCCUCCCACGCGGGGAGGGACGAGGUAAACUGAGGCAUAGCGACUUGUGCAAGGUCAGCCGGAGAGCGAUGGAAGGACCCCGGGAAUUCUACAACUCCUGUGCUGCCAACUGUCAUGAUUUUUUGGCCAGCAGAUUUCACUCAGCCCAGUGAGUUCGGCAGGCAGAGACUUGAAGUCAGAUCUCCUGAAUGCCAGGGCAGCGUCAGAUCCACUAAAACCAGCCCCCCGCUCCCCAAUGCUAACACGCAGUAAUUCCUGCUCUAAGUGACAUUCGUCUCCAGCAGUCAGCAGCAAGAAAAACCCUGGCUUGCCUCUAAAUCUACAAAGUCGGAUUUUGCAUGGGAGCUUUUUCUUUCUCCCUGCUACACAAUAAAGCAAUCACCAUGCAUGGGGGCAGGGGGAAAGAGAUCGGGGCAGAGAAAUUGGACAGGUUAGACCGUAAGCCAAUAAAGUGUUUUUAAAAUAAAAUUUUAAAGGCACGGUAACAUUCCACACUACCCAGCGUCUAAGUGAACCCAAGGCGAGGCCGUGUGCACAUAAAGGGAAAAGCCAGCGGUACACGGCUUAAUGAGUAACUGCUAAAACAUACCACCGCUAAUAAAGAUACUCUGUGCCAAGCCAGGAACUAUAUAGUGCUCCUGAGUGGAGUGUAUAUACAGAUAGAGCCCCUCAGGGCAGGACUCUUUAUACAAACAAAACUCCAACACGAAAUAAAUUCAUUCUGUCCCACAAGACGGGCCGGAAAAUGCAACGGGCUGGACGCAGAAGAAAAACAUUAGUGUUUAGACAAGAGCAGUAAUGUUCUCAC
Long non-coding RNA from Mauremys reevesii (Reeves's turtle), 927 nucleotides. RefSeq lists it as uncharacterized. The transcript has 3 exons. The record is from RefSeq and is a predicted model, not a curated record. NCBI's taxonomy places the organism in Eukaryota, Metazoa, Chordata, Testudines, Geoemydidae.